Molecule: ribosomal RNA, 884 nt
Filed under: Alteromonas sp. 37(2010)
Lineage: Bacteria; Pseudomonadati; Pseudomonadota; Gammaproteobacteria; Alteromonadales; Alteromonadaceae
Description: bacterial SSU rRNA
Rfam family: Bacterial small subunit ribosomal RNA
Source: RNAcentral
GGCGGACGGGUGAGUAAUGCUUGGGAACUUGCCUUUGCGAGGGGGAUAACAGUUGGAAACGACUGCUAAUACCGCAUAAUGUCUUCGGACCAAACGGGGCUUCGGCUCCGGCGCAAAGAGAGGCCCAAGUGAGAUUAGCUAGUUGGUAAGGUAACGGCUUACCAAGGCGACGAUCUCUAGCUGUUCUGAGAGGAAGAUCAGCCACACUGGGACUGAGACACGGCCCAGACUCCUACGGGAGGCAGCAGUGGGGAAUAUUGCACAAUGGGGGAAACCCUGAUGCAGCCAUGCCGCGUGUGUGAAGAAGGCCUUCGGGUUGUAAAGCACUUUCAGUUGUGAGGAAAAGUUAGUAGUUAAUACCUGCUAGCCGUGACGUUAACAACAGAAGAAGCACCGGCUAACUCCGUGCCAGCAGCCGCGGUAAUACGGAGGGUGCGAGCGUUAAUCGGAAUUACUGGGCGUAAAGCGCACGCAGGCGGUUUGUUAAGCUAGAUGUGAAAGCCCCGGGCUCAACCUGGGAUGGUCAUUUAGAACUGGCAGACUAGAGUCUUGGAGAGGGGAGUGGAAUUCCAGGUGUAGCGGUGAAAUGCGUAGAUAUCUGGAGGAACAUCAGUGGCGAAGGCGACUCCCUGGCCAAAGACUGACGCUCAUGUGCGAAAGUGUGGGUAGCGAACAGGAUUAGAUACCCUGGUAGUCCACACCGUAAACGCUGUCUACUAGCUGUGUGUGCCUUUAAGGCGUGCGUAGCGAAGCUAACGCGCUAAGUAGACCGCCUGGGGAGUACGGCCGCAAGGUUAAAACUCAAAUGAAUUGACGGGGGCCCGCACAAGCGGUGGAGCAUGUGGUUUAAUUCGAUGCAACGCGAAGAACCUUACCUACACUUG